GACGAACGCUGGCGGCGUGCCUAAUACAUGCAAGUUGAGCGCUGAAGGUUGGUACUUGUACCAACUGGAUGAGCAGCGAACGGGUGAGUAACGCGUGGGGAAUCUGCCUUUGAGCGGGGGACAACAUUUGGAAACGAAUGCUAACACCGCAUAAAAACUUUAAACACAAGUUUUAAGUUUGAAAGAUGCAAUUGCAUCACUCAAAGAUGAUCCCGCGUUGUAUUAGCUAGUUGGUGAGGUAAAGGCUCACCAAGGCGAUGAUACAUAGCCGACCUGAGAGGGUGAUCGGCCACAUUGGGACUGAGACACGGCCCAAACUCCUACGGGAGGCAGCAGUAGGGAAUCUUCGGCAAUAGACGAAAGUCUGACCGAGCAACGCCGCGUGAGUGAAGAAGGUUUUCGGAUCGUAAAACUCUGUUGGUAGAGAAGAACGUUGGUGAGAGUGGAAAGCUCAUCAAGUGACGGUAACUACCCAGAAAGGGACGGCUAACUACGUG
Molecule: ribosomal RNA, 497 nt
Filed under: uncultured bacterium
Lineage: Bacteria
Description: partial 16S ribosomal RNA
Rfam family: Bacterial small subunit ribosomal RNA
Source: RNAcentral